Molecule: ribosomal RNA, 486 nt
Filed under: uncultured alveolate
Lineage: Eukaryota
Description: SSU rRNA
Rfam family: Eukaryotic small subunit ribosomal RNA
Source: RNAcentral
UCUAAGUAUAAAUGUUAUACAGUGAAACUGCGAAUGGCUCAUUAAAACAGUUAUAGUUUAUUUGAUAAUCGAAUUUACAUGGAUAACCGUGGUAAUUCUAGAGCUAAUACAUGCUGGUUAGCCUGACUUUUAGGAAGGGCUGUAUUUAUUAGAUAACAAACCAAUAUUCCUCGUGUCUAUUGUGAUGACUCAUAAUAACUGAUCGAAUCGCAUGGGCCUUGCCCGCGAUACAUCAUUCAAGUUUCUGCCCCAUCAGCUUUCGAUGGUAGUGUAUUGGACUACCAUGGCUUUAACGGGUAACGGAGGAUUAGGGUUCGAUUCCGGAGAGGGAGCCUGAGAAACGGCUACCACAUCUAAGGAAGGCAGCAGGCGCGUAAAUUACCCAAUCCUGACUCAGGGAGGUAGUGACAAGAAAUAACGGACCGAGGCUUUUGCUUCGGGAUUGCAAUGAGUAGAAUUUAAACCCCUUUACGAGGAUCAAUUGGA